CAAAGGGUAAAAGGAGAAGUGGGUAUGUGGGCGGUGAUAAUGGUGUUGAUGUGUUGUUGAUAGGAGGAACGAAGGAGGUAGAGGGGGAGGAUACAACCUUCUCCGUACGAUGUCCUUUUUCUUCUCCUUCUUCCUCUUCCCCCCUUUCUCCUCUAUCUUUGGAUUAACUAAAAUGACUAACUCCACUGUAAGUUGCAGCGGCAGUGAUGAUCUUCUCUUUCUCACUCUCUCACUCUCUUUCAUUCUUUCACCUGUUCUUGUUGCGGCAAUGAUAGAGGUAGGGGGAGCUGCGGUAAUACUGAAAUGGCUUCCCCUGUCUUACCGAAAUGGUUUGCUAGAAACUCCAUUUGGCUUCUCUGUGUUCAUCAGCUAAUUUGUGAGUUCAUGAUGUUAUAGAGUUUCAAAGUGGAGCUCAGGGCACCGGGACCAUGGGUUGGUGAUGAGCAGCACACCAAGUGGCCACUUCAAGCUCAAAACCCCCUCUUAGUCUUAGGAUUUUGACUAUUCAAAUACCAACAACAGGACUGCAUCUUGGCUACAUCUUGAGGUGAGACGGAUUUGGCUGCAAGUUCCCUAGAAACUGAGAAUACAUCUUCAUACUUGACCUAAUAACAAUUGGGGAAGAACUCAAAGCAACGACGGUAACAGUGAGAGAUAUUCCGGUCGUUAAGAGUGAUGUUGCUACUACAAUCCAAGCAGUAGAAUUGAGAGCCAUAGUGGAUACUAUAUCAUCAGGAGAUGUCAUCGUUGCUGCUUAAUCAGUAGGUAUUGUGAAUGCAAAGACUGUGUGCCAUGAGGAAAGGAUUAAGCUAGGGAUGUUCUCAUGGAUGCAGCGAUAAAGCCACCAAGAGACAUACCGCUUUUCCCUAAAAAUGGUAGAGCAAAGCUUGUCGGAUUGAUAGAAGUGAGAAAGAAAGGAGAAGAAGAGAAAGAAAGAAAGGGAAGAGGGUGACUACUAGAACGUGAAAGAAGGAAUCGAGGCCACCCUUGCUCUGACCCUUUCUCUCUAUAGGGGUUUACAGACCCUUGAUCUGACCAAUCACGCUGGAUCUCAGUAUCUCUCAAAUAUCAUAUUUGGGUUCCUUGCAAAUUUGAGAGAUAGUUAAUAAAUCUGAGAUGAGUUGUAGAAGGGGAAGAAGGAGAGAGAGAGAGAGAGAGGAGGUGGAGGGGUCUGCUACUGUAAUGAGUUGUAGUGGCGGUGAUCAAAUAGGGGAGAGAACGGAUGGGAAGGAGAGAGAGAGAGAGGGGGAGGGAGGGAGCGUGUGAGUGAAGGGUAAAAUUGGGUUUUAGAAAAAGUUAUACAUCACGUGUGUACGAAACUUGACAGAAUAUUAACAGAUGAUAAUGGUAAGGGUACUGUAAGAGAG
Non-coding RNA from Nelumbo nucifera (sacred lotus), 1367 nucleotides. Lineage: Eukaryota; Viridiplantae; Streptophyta; Magnoliopsida; Proteales; Nelumbonaceae. The record is from RefSeq and is a predicted model, not a curated record.